Long non-coding RNA from Astyanax mexicanus (Mexican tetra), 1682 nucleotides. RefSeq lists it as uncharacterized. The transcript is spliced from 3 exons. The record is from RefSeq and is a predicted model, not a curated record. NCBI's taxonomy places the organism in Eukaryota, Metazoa, Chordata, Actinopteri, Characiformes, Acestrorhamphidae.
CCUCAGUCGCAAAGUAGAUCCCGGUGCGCUCGCCUGCCUCGUCCCGGCGGUUUCCACUCUACGAGGAGUCCGCUUUGCUUGGCUUCUGCAACCGCAGAGCUUCAAAGAGUCAGUUGGGACUUUCCUUCCUGCCUUGGAGCAACUUGUAGAUCUUCCGUCGGGCUGCUUUGAUUCUGCUUUUCACUUCUUCAGCAAGUAGAAGUGCAACCAGGUCCAUCCGUGGCCGUUAGCUGUUGGUUCGCUCCAGUGUCCUACUCUCAAAUCUGCAAAUAUGAUCAUUAGACUGGGACGCUUGACUCCUGGAUACUUCCGCCUCCUGCAGAGGCAGGUGUCCGGCGAGAUCCAGACGCAGCCUCAGGACCGAGCCUUGAACCAGAUCGCCAUGAUGCUGGCCAUCAUGGGCCUCAGUCUGUCCUACUACAGCGCCAAGCAGAUGACGGAGAAAGUCCAGCGCGUUCCUGGACACUGAAGAUUCCCUGAACUCCGGUCUGAAUGAAUCCCGGAGAUGAUGAAACCAAACAAAGCCAAAUGGGAGAUUAAGAUUGGAGAGAUUGGAGAGAUUGGAGAGAUUGGAGAGAUUGGAGAGAUUGGAGAGAUUGGAGAGAUUGGAGAGAAAGAGACUGAGAUACUGAGAUCAAAGAGUUUGUCCGGCACUUUCCUUACACUAACUCACGAUCACAAACACCGUAAACCUGAGUCACUGGAUUAACACUUCACGUUCACCAUGAGCCACCAAGAGUUCAGGGCUGCUGUUGAGGCGAUCCUCUGAUUGCAGAUUGCAGAUCGCAGCUUUAGCGUAGCCGGGAAUUGGAGAACAAAUGAACGACUGUCCAAGAUGGCGUUUCAUAGAGAUAGGGGGCAGGUUUUAUAGUCAGAAGAAGAAGAAAGAAAGUCUAAUCUGUUGAGGCCUGGAUGUCGGUGGUUGCUGUGGUAUACACUCCUCCAAAAAGUUUAUUUUGAAACACCCUAUGGUUCUGUGUGUUUUUCUGUAAGACCUUUUGGGAUAAUAACGUUUUUAAAGGGAAUAAUCUAUUAGCAUAAGAACCAAUGCUUUUUAAAGGAAUAUAAUACUAAAUAUUAUUAUUACUAUUUGAAUACUGUGUUUUAAUGUAUUAAACAAGUAUCGACCACAGACCAGGAGCUUUCUGUACCACGUAACCAUCGACAGCAGGUUAAAUAUUCACGAAUGGUCAUAAAAGGCAUGUGAAAAGUUUGUUCUUUAAGGCGGUAUAGAUGCAGAUGAGGUGCCACAGCGAACUCUGAGAACUCUGUACACUGUAAGACCAGUAAAAACGAAAUAUCUAUCUGUUCGGUGUUUGAUGCUGUUACCACUUUCACUAUACUAUCCAGAGCAAUGCAAACUAUAAAGUAGCCUGUAAAUCACUUUUUUUGGAACAAAUCAACGCGUUUAAGGGACUUUUAUUCUUUCCUACUUUAUCGGAACUCCUUUUUUCUUUUGUAUUCCUCACAUUUUGUGUGUUUUCGUUAAAACUGUGUAAAGUACCUAGUUAAGUGUUGACUGUGACUUUUCUAAUCUGUUUGAAUGCAUGAGUGUGAAACUUUUGAACGAUGUGAAACUGUAUUAUUGUUACUAAUGAAUUUUAUUGUGAUGAAUGUAUAUUGCUAUUUUUAAAUAAAUGAACGAAUAAAAGCUGUGAAAUUAAACAAAAUCAAGCUAUGAA